RNAcentral lists this ribosomal RNA (318 nucleotides) under Triticum aestivum (bread wheat). RNAcentral's name for it is "partial small subunit ribosomal RNA". Lineage: Eukaryota; Viridiplantae; Streptophyta; Magnoliopsida; Poales; Poaceae. The record is from RNAcentral.
AUGAAAAAAAUAUGCAGAUAUGCUUCGGAAAGUUACAAAUUAAAGACGGUAAAUAAUAUUGAUAGGGAAAUCCUUGCAGUUGUAAAUGCAAUAAAUGCAUUUAGGCUAUAUCUAGGAUUUAAAGAAUUUACAGUGCAAACAGACUGUGAAGCUAUAUGUCGAUAUUACAAUAAAAUUAAUAGUAAGAAAAGCUCAACCAGAAGAUGGGUCUUAUUUGAAGACACCAUAGCUGGGAAUGGUUAUAAAGUUAUUUUUGAGCAUAUUAAGGGGAAGGAUAAUACCUUACCUGACAUAUUUUCUCGUGCAUCAAAUUUGUAG